UCUGCCUAGUAGUGGGGGAUAACUUGCCGAAAGGUAAGCUAAUACCGCAUACGUCCUACGGGAGAAAGCAGGGGGACCUUCGGGCCUUGCGCUAUUAGAUGAGCCUAGGUCGGGAUUAGUUAGUUGGUGAGGUAAUGGGCUCACCCAAGACAGCGAUCCGUAACUGGUCUGAGAGGAUGAUCAGUCACACUGGAACUGAGACCCGGUCCAGACUCUACCGGGAGCCAGCAGUGGGGAAUAUUGGACAAUGGGGGGGAACCCUGAUCCAGCCAUCCCGCGUGUGUGAAGAAGUUCUUAGGAUGUAAAGCCACUUUAAGUUGGGAGGAAGGCCAGUUAACUAAUAUUUGACUGUUUUGACGUUACCGACAGAAUAAGCACCGGCUAACUUCGUGCCAGCAGCCGCGGUAAUACGAAGGGUGCAAGCGUUAAUCGGAAUUACUGGGCGUAAAGCGCGCGUAGGUGGUUCGUUAAGUUAGGAGUGAAAGCCCCGGGCUCAACCUGGGAAUUGCUUCUAAAACUGGCGGGCUAGAGUAUGGUAGAGGGUGGUGGAAUUUCCUGUGUAGCGGUGAAAUGCGUAGAUAUAGGAAGGAACAUCAGUGGCGAAGGCGACCACCUGGACUGAUACUGACACUGAGAUGCGAAAGCGUGGGGAGCAAACAGGAUUAGAUACCCUGGUAGUCCACGCCGUAAACGAUGUCAACUA
This 703-nucleotide ribosomal RNA is filed under the name uncultured bacterium. Its description in RNAcentral is "bacterial SSU rRNA". It matches the Rfam family "Bacterial small subunit ribosomal RNA", at positions 125 to 818 of the family's 1533-position model. The record is from RNAcentral.